CUGUUUUUACUCGACGUCUCCAGAAUCUUCCGAAAAUACGCGUCAGCGAUGUUCAUCGCAUUGUUGAUGCCUGGUCCCCUGCUCCGACAAGCAAGAGGGACAAGGGCUUUAAACUCUACAUAUCGAGUUAUCUGCACAACUACAAGGGAGCACACACUCUACAAAGGCCUGACUGGAGAUUUGCCUGAUCUAUCCGUCCUUCAGAUGACAGCGGCUCGCUUCAAGAGCAGGUGAAGCAAGUUGGGACAAUGUUGAAGACAUUUGCUCACACUGGGCAAUCAGGUGCAGAUCAAACCCUAAUGCUGCGACGUCUUGGGAGUUUGGCGAUGUUGUGCGUAGCAUGGACGACAAAAUGCUAUGCUGCAACGUUUCAGUGCCAAUGUGUCUGUUGGAGAGUUAUCCCUGACAGGGGAUCUGUUACUCCCCCCUAGACACCCAGGAACAUUUGGCGUUGCUUGACAACAGUUUGAGGCAGGAUAAAG
This is a long non-coding RNA of Xyrauchen texanus (razorback sucker), 482 nucleotides long. RefSeq lists it as uncharacterized. The transcript has 4 exons. Lineage: Eukaryota; Metazoa; Chordata; Actinopteri; Cypriniformes; Catostomidae. The record is from RefSeq and is a predicted model, not a curated record.